Molecule: ribosomal RNA, 330 nt
Filed under: uncultured bacterium
Lineage: Bacteria
Description: bacterial SSU rRNA
Rfam family: Bacterial small subunit ribosomal RNA
Source: RNAcentral
UGUGUAGGUGGCUGAUUAAGUCAAAGAUGAAAUCCCGAGGCUCAACUUCGGAAUGGUCUUUGAUACUGAUCAGCUUGAGGCUAGUUGAGGAGAGCGGAAUUCCCGGUGGAGCGGUGAAAUGCGUAGAUAUCGGGAGGAACACCAGAGGCGUAGGCGGUUCUCUAACCUAGUCCUGACACUGAGACACGAAAGCUAGGGGAGCAAACGGGAUUAGAUACCCCGGUAGUCCUAGCUGUAAACGAUGGACACUAGAUGUUCUCACGUUUAUGUGGGAGUGUCGUAGCUAACGCGUUAAGUGUCCCGCCUGGGGAGUACGGUCGCAAGGCUGAA